GGAUGCGACCAUACCAGCACUAAAGCACCGGAUCCCAUCAGAACUCCGAAGUUAAGCGUGCUUGGGAGAGAGAAGUACUAGGAUGGGUGACCUCUUGGGAAGUCCUCGUGUUGCAUUCC
RNAcentral lists this ribosomal RNA (119 nucleotides) under Triticum aestivum (bread wheat). Lineage: Eukaryota; Viridiplantae; Streptophyta; Magnoliopsida; Poales; Poaceae. The record is from RNAcentral.